CAACUACAUCUACAUCCCAGUGAUGUUAGGUGUGGUCAUUAUAAUCUCCUCCCCUGGACAGGCUGUAUGAGUAGUCUAUCAGGUACUCCGACUAACAGUAAACUGAUAUACCUCCCAACGGUCAUUGUAAUGGUCUCAAGGAUGCCUUACUUUAGACUCUUGAAGGAAGCAC
RNAcentral lists this long non-coding RNA (172 nucleotides) under Amphimedon queenslandica. Its description in RNAcentral is "uncharacterized LOC109593291, transcript variant X1". Lineage: Eukaryota; Metazoa; Porifera; Demospongiae; Haplosclerida; Niphatidae. The record is from RNAcentral.